GAUGAAGGCCUUAGGGUUGUAAAGCUCUUUUGUCCGGGAAGAUAAUGACUGUACCGGAAGAAUAAGCCCCGGNUAACUUCGUGCCAGCAGCCGCGGUAAUACGAAGGGGGCUAGCGUUGCUCGGAAUCACUGGGCGUAAAGGGCGCGAAGGCGGACUCUUAAGUCGGGGGUGAAAGCCCAGGGCUCAACCCUGGAAUUGCCUUCGAUACUGAGAGUCUUGAGUUCGGAAGAGGUUGGUGGAACUGCGAGUGUAGAGGUGAAAUUCGUAGAUAUUCGCAAGAACACCAGUGGCGAAGGCGGCCAACUGGUCCGAUACUGACGCUGAGGCGCGAAAGC
This 336-nucleotide ribosomal RNA is filed under the name alpha proteobacterium OR-145. RNAcentral's name for it is "bacterial SSU rRNA". It matches the Rfam family "Bacterial small subunit ribosomal RNA", at positions 407 to 760 of the family's 1533-position model. The record is from RNAcentral. Lineage: Bacteria; Pseudomonadati; Pseudomonadota; Alphaproteobacteria.